CGCCAACAUUUGAAAAGAAUACCGUUUGCGUUGCGUUGCAGUUUAUUGAGCUCGAUCGAGAAGUGGGACGAAGAAGGCCGUUAAUAAUUCAACUACUUAAAGAAUGCGGGUUAGAUGUGGACGACUUCGAAGACAUUUGCAGUAGGCUAAACAGAGAAAGAGAGGGAGACCCAAAACUACUUGUCCUGGCAUCACAUUUGAGGAGGAGAUGAAGUCGGUGAAUAUGACCUAGCCCGGGGGAGUUUCCAGAAGACGGCCCAGAACCACUGGCCGCCAGGAGUGGAGGUCCUUUGUUGUUGCUCUACAUGUCAGGAGGCAUCGGGCAGUAGCCCUGGUAGAAGCACCAUCUUGAUACCAUCAUUCAAACUCUCAUCAGCUGUAUCAUUAUAGGUGGACUAAAAGAACAAUAUUCAUGCAGAUAUAAUGAUGCCUUAAGUUGAAAUGGAAGGUGUCCUGAAUCUGCACCCAUUCAUCUGGUUUCGUAACUCCUUUCAUAGUGCUAUUGGAACCUGCUCCCUACCAGUAUAACAUCAAACAGAUUGGAAGAAUAAAGGCCAAUGGGAAGUGCCUUUUAUAUUUGUACUUGCCACAAAGCAGUCCAUGGUUUAGCGCUAUCUAAACUGGACUAUUGUAAUGCUCUUCGUGCUUGAAUUAGGGCGAUCUGGACUGACUGCAUAUAGUACAGAAUGCUGCAUCUAUUGUGCCAUUUGCCAUACGCCAACUUCGCUGGCUGCAAGUCAAGGAAAGGAUAUACAUGAACAUCAGUGUCCGUCUCCUGAUUUUCAAAGUCAUUGACAGAGAUCCAGAUUACAUGUUUUAUAAGGAAUCCCUUGUGCAUCAUUUUCAUUCUAGGCGCACUUGCCUUUUUAUUUUUGUGAUCAUUACGCACCUACGAAUUAGCUACUGGUGAUGCAACUUUCUCCACUUCUGCUCCAAGGCCGUGAAAUUAGCUCCUUCCUCUCCUCCAGUUGUCAACAACCUUGGAUCAAUCCAAAUACAAUUUGAGAAGACCUACCAUCCUGAUCUUUGCUCUGUACUUACAACAAUACUGUCACUGUCUGGUAAUUUGAAUUUUUUUAAAUCUCAUGCGCUUUGUAUCUCGCAAAAUAACGUGUUGUGUAAAAGCGAACAUGCAUUGAGGUCAAGUUUAAGGGUAACCAUGGAUAUUGCCUUUUAUUACUUUUUAACAAAACUGAAAAAUUCAUCCAAAUUAGACAAGGGAUAAUAAAGUAAUGUAUGACAUUCUAACCUCUGCAUUAUUUUGGUGAAAGAGCUCUAAGCAUAUAUGCAAGUAGCAAGCUGAUGAUGUCAUACUGACGUACAUUGUACAUGUACACGUAUCCCCAACUUAUUAUUUUGUAUAUAAAAUUGUGCAUUUAAUUUUGUUUACCAAGAAUGAAACAAAUCGGAUUGUAAACUGUAUUGAUGUGACUUACCUGUAUUGAUUAUUGCUGGAAGUUCUUUUGCUACAUGGGAUUGGAAGACAUACUUAUUACACACAUGAAGUAAAUUAUUAUUUUAUCUGGUAACAUGAGAACAAUAAAAAUGUGGGCAUGAUAUCAUAAACUUACAUGUAUCUACUUGCAUGUGUUGAUGACCAAUAUUUUUGUAAUUAUUUUUUUUAAAAUUUUAUCUGAUUUUGAUAAAAUUUUCACUAUUUUGCAUGGUAAAAAUUACUUUAUUUUAGAUUAUGUUGAGCCCGUAUCAUAUACAAGUACAACUUUAAAGAUAAAUUACCAGUUGUAGUAACAAUCUUAAAAUUAGUUCGAACAGAAUCCAAUAGAAUUACCAGCAAAAUAUAAAAGACAUGUGCCAUAAUUAAUUAUAGCUCGGGAAGAAAAUGUGUAAUUGCUGAGAAAUGAGCAAAAUAAGCAUGUAAUUCUAUCCAAUGUCAGGUAUUUUUCAAAUCAAUCAUAAUACACUGUCCUGUCCCACAUGUUCUUUUCUGUGUUAGUGAUCAUCAAAAUAAUUAAUUUUAAGUUCAAAAUUAGUGAUUUUACAAAAAUACAAGCUUACAUUAAUGUACCAGAUCUAGAGAUUAUGUACAAUAUUUUGACAAUUUCUCAUGAAAUAAUUGUUUGCUGCAACUGCUGUCUUUUUAAUACGUUUAAGUGAUAGUGUAAUACAACCACAAACUUUUCUUAAGAAUUAAUGUACAUGUAUGAUUCUUUCACCCAAAUUUACAUGCAUUGAUACUGUUGACUACUUGCCAAAAGUUCCUGCCAAAAGCCUUUUUUAACGUUGUACAUGCUUUUAUAGACGACCUGCCAAAACAUUGUAUUGUAUUAUAUUCAAGGUCCAACCAAAAAGAGAUGAAUAAAAUGUUUGAAGGAAAUUGAAAUUAACUUUAAAAAUGAUAGAUCUCUGUCAAUGCAGUAUUAUUACAGGGUUCCCACAGUCAUGGAAAAUCCUGGAAAAAAAUUGGUCAUGGAAAGUCAGGGAUAUGUGAAAAGUCAUGGAAUUGCAUUUACCUCUUGGCUAUGACAGCUUUCUAGUUUUUUAUGUCUCACAACUCUCAUACUCUGUGAUUGUACUCUACUAUUAUAAUUGGUGUUCAUGAUCAUAACAUGUCUGAUUUUGUAAACUGUGCCAGAAAGGAAUUAAGUCAUGGAAAGCAGCAAUUUUAAUAGUCAUGGAGAGGUCAUGGAAUUCUGUUUUCAAAUUUCUGUGGGAACCAUGAAUAGGUUUGUGCACUUGACACAGUGUGCACUACAGAUGAACUUUGUAAUGCCAUGAUAUAAACCAGUACAAUAUCUUAAAGGAAAAUAAAACCCAAAAUAUAAUACCACAUGAUACCAUUGAUAAAUACAGGACAAUGAAAAUGAAUCCACUCAUAUACCCCCAAUCCGAUGUCCCAGUAUGGAGUACCACCUUUUCAAAGUUGGCAUCUUCUGGUACAAAGUCUAUGGAUGGGGAUUAUUCCGUCAGCGACGAACUACAUCUCUAAACGUUUGGGCAUUAUAUAUUCUAUUUCAUCGAUAAUAAAUCAAAUGUACAGAUAAAACUCAUAAAAUAUUAAUUAAAAUUUGUUUAAUAUUAUAUGAUAGGUUCAAAUUACGACUUGAUGAGUUUUAAUGAUAAAAAUUACACCCUAAUCUACGAUUUACAAAUUGGCAGCGGAAAUUGGGGUGUAAAUCUUAUCAUUAAAACUCAUCAAAUUGUAUUUUGAACCUACCAUAUAUUAAACAAAUUUAACUAAUAUUUUUAUGAGUUUUAUCUGUACAUUUGAUUUGUUAUUGAUAAAAUAGAAUAUAUAAUGCCUAAACGUUUAGAGAUGUAGUUCGUCGCUGAUGUAAUAAUUUCCUAACUAACCCCGCGAAAAUGGCGACCUCCAUCCAGAAACUUCGAACCAUACUGUAAGAGGCCAACUUUGAAAAGGUGGUACUCCGUAAUUGGAUUAGGGUAUGAGUGGAUUCAUGUUGAUUGUCCUGUAUUUAUCAAUAAUAUCAUGUGGUAUUAUGUUUUGGGUGUUAUUUUCCUUUAAUUCAGAUAUUACAUGCCAGGGUAUUGUCCUAGUUUUCAUUUUCUCCAAAUACAUAUUAUCAUCUCUCGUCUAUUUCUACUUGCCCUUCAGCCUUGAAGUAAACUUGGGAUAAUUAUGCAUUUUGUUAUACGCAAUUUUGAGUACAGUGCACUUUGCCGCAGCUACUUAUAUGAUAUUACCUAUUGUAGACACAUCCUUAUGUUUUGUUCAUUUUCUUAAAAACGAUUAAGAGUUUAAUCAUUUUUGUCUUUAAGCAUAAAACAAAGAGUAAAUCAGUCCAUUCUGUAUGUGUGACCUGCAAAAAAACUACAAUGGUCGUUAAUUUGGUUUGCUGAAAAGCCAGAUAACCUUUGAGGUAACUUUUUAAAGUAUUUAGAAGAAAUGUAUCUUUUUUAAAAGUAUUUAUAUGCACUGUAACUAAUUUCUUUGAUAGUUACUAUUAUGUUACACUGUUUGUACAGUAAAGCAGCUGUUACACAAUUUUUGUCAAUAGCAAAUCUAAACCAGUAUUGUAAAUUGAUGACUCUAUGAGCUAAAUACCAGUACUUUCUAUAUCA
Lytechinus pictus (painted urchin) is the source of this 4041-nucleotide long non-coding RNA. RefSeq lists it as uncharacterized. Lineage: Eukaryota; Metazoa; Echinodermata; Echinoidea; Temnopleuroida; Toxopneustidae. The record is from RefSeq and is a predicted model, not a curated record. The transcript has 4 exons.